CCAUACUGAAGUGGUUAGUUAACUAGUUAACAGACUAGUUAACAGACUGACCUGUCCCAUACUGAAGUGGUUAGUUAACUUGUAAAAAGACUAGUUAACAGACUGACCCGUCCCAUACUGAAGUGGUUAGUUAACCUGUAAAAAGACUAGUUAACAGACUGACCUGUCCCAUACUGAAAUGGUUAGUUAACUAGUUAACAGACUGACAUGUCCCAUACUGAAGUGGUUAGUUAACUAGUAAACAGACUAGUUGACAGACUGACCUGUCCCAUACUGAAAUGGUUAGUUAACUAGUUAACAGACUGACCUGUCCCAUACUGAAGUGGUUAGUUAACUAGUUAACAGACUAGUUAACAGACUGACCUGUCCCAUACUGAAGUGGUUAGUUAACUAGUUAACAGACUAGUUAACAGACUGACCUGUCCCAUACUGAAGUGGUUAGUUAACUAGUUAACAGACUAGUUAACAGACUGACCUGUCCCAUACUGAAGUGGUUAGUUAACUAGUUAACAGACUAGUUAACAGACUGACCUGUCCCAUACUGAAGUGGUUAGUUAACUAGUUAACAGACCGACCUGUCCCAUACUGAAGUGGUUAGUUAACUAGUUAACAGACUGACCUGUCCCAUACUGAAGUGGUUAGUUAACUUGUAAACAGACUGACCUGUCCCAUACUGAAGUGGUUAGUUAACCAGUAAACAGACUGACCUGUCCCAUACUGAAGUGGUUAGUUAACCAGUAAACAGACUGACCUGUCCCAUACUGAAGUGGUUAGUUAACCAGUAAACAGACUAGUUAACAGACUGACCUUUCCCAUACUGAAAUGGUUAGUUAACUAGUUAACAGACUGACCUGUCCCAUACUGAAGUGGUUAGUUAACUUGUAAAAAGACUAGUUAACAGACUGACCUGUCCCAUACUGAAGUGGUUAGUUAACUAGUUAACAGACUGACCUGUCCCAUACUGAAGUGGUUAGUUAACUUGUAAAAAGACUAGUUAACAGACUGACCUGUCCCAUACAGAAAUGGUUAGUUAACUUGUAAAAAGACUAGUUAACAGACUGACCUGUCCCAUACUGAAGUGGUUAGUUAACUUGUAAAAAGACUAGUUAACAGACUGACCUGUCCCAUACUGAAGUGUCUCUUGAAGGACCCGAACAGAUCGUAGAUCAGCACUGAUCCGUCCUCCUGAAUACACAGCAGCUCAUCAUUGACUGUCCAACCUAAAUGGACCACAGGACCGCUCUUCCACUGACAGGUGAGACGGGACAGGUGAGACAGAGACCGGUGAGACAGAGGGAUUACUACACAUUGCAGUACUAAACACUAAACAGUCCGGCAUGAUUUAACAGUAACGACCAGGUGAAUGAGGACUGUCUCUGAUUGGUUAACGAGGAACUGAAGAUUUACCGGGAAGCUGGUGAUGGAGGCUCCCGACGCAGAAUAGAUCUCCAGCUGAGGACGGGAACUGGGAGAACGUCUGAGGGGUUCUCUGAGGAGGGCUGAGAGACAGACAGAUAGAGACAGACAGACAGGUGUAGGGACACGUAGAGACAAACAGGUACAGACACGCAGAGACAGACAGGUAGAGACAGACAGGUGUAGAGACAGAGACAGGCAUUACCACCCACUCUGAACAGGUGUAUAUUAUAUUGUUUUGUAUAUUUCCGCCCGACUCUCGUUGUUAAUAACAGCGAACCUAUGGGUCCUCCAUACGGAGCAGCAGCCACCAGACUGUCUCUGAGACCGUCCUUCAGGGUCCAGCUCAUCUCGUACAGCUCCGUCUUCCUGCACACACACACACACACACAUUAACACACACACGUUAACGAACACGUUAACGAACACGUUACGUCACAGUGCAUCACGUUAGAUGCUGACGUCAGCUCGUUUAGUUCUGUCCCACCAGACUCCGUUUAAAAUGAUGCGACUUUAACUGCGGUCCUGAGAGCAGCUGGCAGGACGUCACCUGCUGGGUUGGAUUAAACGUGAUGACGUUAACACACCUGUUGCGAACAGGACGUAGCUGCUAACCGUUAAUGACGCGCACACACACACCGUGAUAUGACGUUUAAAGGUGUUCAGCAGGACGCUAACGGGCAGCUAACGCUCCGUUAAAACAGACGGGAGCUUGUGUUCACGCUGCAGGGACCUAGCGUUAGCAGUUAGCAUCCAGUAGCUACAGCUGGUACCUGACCGACACUCCGGGGAUACACUGACCGAUAAAAGGCUUCUCCCAGCGGGUUCCAGUCGGCUGUGAUGAACGCCAUGUUGUUUCCCUCCGGGGAGAUGAAGACGUCUUCAGGCCGUUGAUGAUGAUGAUGAUGAAGAGUCGCUGUUAGCUUUAGCUUCCAAUCAGUCAGCUGAUCGCUUCCACAACAGCUGCUUCUUCUUCUUCUUCUUGUUUCCGGCAGCCUAGACGCUCCUGCGGCGUGUUGCUGCCCUCCUCUGUUCGUUAUUCACAUCUUAACGCUGCUUGCCUGGAUCCUUUUGUAGAAACCAGUUUUAUGUCUCUAAACAGUUUCCUCCUUUGGCGAGAGUACUUCCUAAAAUGUACUAGUACACGCUUCACUGUUUCCUCGUCUCCACAUUUUCCAUCAGGAUGUUUCCCAGCCAGAGCCCAAACCUCAGUCUCUCGUCUCUUACAUCUAGGCAGGCACUUUUUCCUUUCUCUACAGGUCCUUCUCCCCUUCCUGUCGUUUCCCCAUGAUUUCUGCCACUUUUCUGUCACUGACCUAUUUAUUAUUUCUGUAAUCCGGAUUGACCCGUCAGUGUAGAUUUGUAGGUGGCCUCCCCGUAGUUGACACAUCCGGGCGUUUAUUUCCUUCGCUACAGCCUCUGACAUCUUUCUUUUGCUUGUUUCCAUAAAAUAUAGGUCAACAUUGGGAUCAACCAUGAAGGUAUAUCUGGAGGACAUGCAUUCAAAUUCACGAUACCAGUUUACUGCUAUAGAUUUGAGUUUUUCUGUAAAGUUUGUUUUGAUCCUUCUUGCUGUUCCCAUGAACUCCCAAUGCUGCCUCAGCAGGCUUUUUGUUGGUGGUUUUCCAUCCCGUCCUGAAAUGGAAAUCUGUCCUUUAGUGAGUCUUCUGAAAUAAAGAGUCCAAUCCAGA
Molecule: long non-coding RNA, 3107 nt
Organism: Micropterus dolomieu (smallmouth bass)
Lineage: Eukaryota; Metazoa; Chordata; Actinopteri; Centrarchiformes; Centrarchidae
Exons: 2
Source: RefSeq, a predicted model, not a curated record